CCUACGGGUGGCAGCAGUGAGGAAUAUUGGUCAAUGGACGAGAGUCUGAACCCGCCACGUAGCGUGAAGGAUGACUGCCCUAUGGGUUGUAAACUUCUUUUAUAUGGGAAUAAAUUGUUCCAAGUGUGGGAUUUUGUAUGUCCCAUAUGAAUAAGGAUCGGCUAAAUCCGUGCCAGCAGCGAGGGUAAUACGGAGGAACCGAGCUUUAUCCGGAUUUGUGGGGUUUAAAGGGAGCGUAGGUGGAUUGUUAAGUCAGUUGUGAACGUUUGCGGCUCAACAGUAAAAUUGCAGUUGAAACUGGCAGGCUUGAGUACAGUAGAGGUGGGCGGAAUUCGUGGUGUAGCGGUGAAAUGCUUAGAUAUCACGAAGAACUCCGAGUGCGAAGGCAGCUCACUGGACUGCAACUGACACUGAGGCUCGAAAGUGUGGGUAUCAAACAGGAUUAGAUACCCCAGUAGUC
RNAcentral lists this ribosomal RNA (460 nucleotides) under uncultured bacterium. RNAcentral's name for it is "partial 16S ribosomal RNA". It matches the Rfam family "Bacterial small subunit ribosomal RNA", at positions 338 to 795 of the family's 1533-position model. The record is from RNAcentral.